RNAcentral lists this ribosomal RNA (468 nucleotides) under uncultured bacterium. RNAcentral's name for it is "partial 16S ribosomal RNA". It matches the Rfam family "Bacterial small subunit ribosomal RNA", at positions 28 to 507 of the family's 1533-position model. The record is from RNAcentral.
GACGAACGCUGGCGGCGUGCUUAACACAUGCAAGUCGAACGGAAAGGCCCUGCUUUUGUGGGGUGCUCGAGUGGCGAACGGGUGAGUAACACGUGAGUAACCUGCCCUUGACUUUGGGAUAACUUCAGGAAACUGGGGCUAAUACCGGAUAGGAUCUCCUGCUGCAUGGUGGGGGUUGGAAAGUUUCGGCGGUUGGGGAUGGACUCGCGGCUUAUCAGCUUGUUGGUGGGGUAGUGGCUUACCAAGGCUUUGACGGGUAGCCGGCCUGAGAGGGUGACCGGCCACAUUGGGACUGAGAGACGGCCCAGAAUCCUACGGGAGGCAGCAGUGGGGAAUAUUGCACAAUGGGCGGAAGCCUGAUGCAGCAACGCCGCGUGCGGGAUGACGGCCUUCGGGUUGUAAACCGCUUUCGCCUGUGACGAAGCGUGAGUGACGGUAAUGGGUAAAGAAGCACCGGCUAACUACGUG